GACGAACGCUGGCGGCGUGCUUAACACAUGCCAGUCGAACGAUGAUCUCCCGCUUGCGGGGGUGAUUAGUGGCGAACGGGUGAGUAAUACGUGAGUAACCUGCCCUUGACUCUGGGAUAAGCCUGGGAAACCGGGUCUAAUACUGGAUACUACUUCCUGCCGCAUGGUGGGGGGUGGAAAGGGUUUUACUGGUUUUGGAUGGGCUCACGGCCUAUCAGCUUGUUGGUGGAGUAAUGGCUCACCAAGGCGACGACGGGUAGCCGGCCUGAGAGGGUGACCGGCCACACUGGGACUGAGACACGGCCCAGACUCCUACGGGAGGCAGCAGUGGGGAAUAUUGCACAAUGGGCGGAAGCCUGAUGCAGCGACGCCGCGUGAGGGAUGACGGCCUUCGGGUUAUAAACCUCUUUCAGCAGGGAAGAAGCCACAAGUGACGGUACCUGCAGAAGAAGCGCCGGCUAACUACGUG
Molecule: ribosomal RNA, 469 nt
Filed under: uncultured bacterium
Lineage: Bacteria
Description: partial 16S ribosomal RNA
Rfam family: Bacterial small subunit ribosomal RNA
Source: RNAcentral